CCAUCCCAAAGAAACCAAACUUGAAAGGAUGUCACGAAGCAUGCAGCAUAUCUGUCCUGUUUAAGGUAAAAUUCACCCUGGGCCCUCGCCCCUGACCUCCACCAGGUGACUUUUCAUGGAGACAUUCUCACUGCCAGCAAUCCUUCAACUCUUUCCACAGAAGUCUGCCAGGAAGAGAAAUGUCCAAAGUCCAUUUUGAGCUCUCAGCCUGGGAUUUAGCUGCAAUUUUUCAUGGACACUGGGCAAUUACUGGCAUACGAAGCCAAGGAGAAGCAAGAGAGGGAAGGCCCUGCUUCUCUAGUGAGAUCAUCAUCUUUGCAUCAGUCACUGUUAGAGACAUCUCUGGUUUCUGUUCCCAGCCUAACUGCACAGAAAAGAGAUAUUCUAGCUUCUCCCUAGUUACGCAUAUGUGGAGAAAACUGAAAAAGAUGGGUAAUCAUGGUUGUUGUAAGUACUUGGGGGCUCCAGAAGGUGUCCCUAAGAACUCCAUAAAGAGGGGCUGUUGUUUCUCUGAGAUUUAAACCUUUAGCACAAAAUGGAUCACAGUGCAGCUGCUGGAAGUCAUCCGAAGGAGCUGAAAAUUUUCCAAGCCCACACCCUCAAUUGCAACUUGUUUGAGCAAUUUUAUUAGCAAAUCUAAAGAAAUAAUGCUUUGAUCAGAAAGGAGAGGGUUUACUCAGCAUGGAAGCAGGACAAAAAAAGGGACUCAAAGGCAAAUGUUAGCAGGGACUGCCCAAACCUUGUCCAAAAGAGAAGGAGCUGAAGUCAAUCGACGGGUAAUUUCUAGGCCUCUUGAAAGAUGCAUCUCCAAUACGGUGUCAGAAAUCAUAGAUAUCACAAGUCUGUAAUCAACAGAUUUCAAGGAUUCAGGUCCCCUUUGGGAAGAACAUCCCAUCCUAUCAUGGUGCCACUUAAACACUUAGUUUUCCUGUCUCAAUUCAAUGUUCACCAAACCUUGUCUUCAGGUUGCCUUGUUGCUGCUGAACAUUUGCCAACAGAAAGUAGACAGGAUGCUGACACUGUUGUAGACCAUCUCUGAUAGUGAUUUCUUAUUAAAAAUGUCAAUGCUGUGUUUUGAUCUUAUACAUACAUGCUGUGCUUCUGAGGUGUACCCAUGAAAAGCUGGGCCAAUUCUUACCAGUUGUCACCCUGCUGACAAGUGCAGGGUGCCGAGCCUUUGACUUAGAGCUGAAUGCCAGCCCUGGACAGUGGGAACACAGCAAGCUGGUGCCUGCUAAGGAGGCUUCCCACAGAAAAGCUGCUGCUGCUUCACCUCAGCGUAUACCUUGACACAGUUGCUAUCCUGAAAGCGGUUUUUUCUUACCAUUUUAACUAGUUUUAAGUGACCAGUUGAGCGGCAUUAAGCACAUUCACAUUAUUGUGCAACCGUCACCACCAGCCAUCUCCAGAACUUCCUCCUUCUCCAGAACAUUCUCCCAAAUGGAAACCCUGCACCAUUCAACAACUCCUUGUUGUCCCCUCCCCACAGCUUCUGGUUGCCACCAUUCUACUUCCUCUAUGAACUUGACUAUUCUAGGUACUUUAUAUAAGUGAAACCAUACAAUGUUUGUCCGUUCGUGUGGGGUGUAUUUCAUGUCGCAUAAUGUCUUAUGGUUCAUCAUGUCAUGGCAUGUGUCAGAGUUUCCCUCUGUUUUAAGGUUGAAUAAUACUUUGUUGAAUGUAUAAACCACAUUUUGUUCAUCUAUUUGCUGAUAGACACUUAGAUUAUUUCCACCUUUUCGUUGUUGUGAAUAAUGCUGCUGUGAUAUGGGUAUACAAAUACCUGUUCAAGUCCCUGCUUUCCAUUCUUU
RNAcentral lists this long non-coding RNA (1811 nucleotides) under Homo sapiens (human). RNAcentral describes it as "HSALNT0339847". The record is from RNAcentral. Lineage: Eukaryota; Metazoa; Chordata; Mammalia; Primates; Hominidae.